This 78-nucleotide transfer RNA is filed under the name Podarcis lilfordi (Lilford's wall lizard). Its description in RNAcentral is "tRNA.Ile". Lineage: Eukaryota; Metazoa; Chordata; Lepidosauria; Squamata; Lacertidae. The record is from RNAcentral.
GUCAACUUGGAUAGCUCAGUUGGUUAGAGUGUGGUGCUGAUAAUCCCAAGGUUGCAAGAUUGAUCCCUGUGUGGGACA